RNAcentral lists this ribosomal RNA (323 nucleotides) under uncultured soil bacterium. Its description in RNAcentral is "bacterial SSU rRNA". It matches the Rfam family "Bacterial small subunit ribosomal RNA", at positions 26 to 380 of the family's 1533-position model. The record is from RNAcentral.
AGAACGAACGCUGGCGGCAUGCCUAAUACAUGCAAGUCGAACGAACUCUUCGGAGUUAGUGGCGCACGGGUGCGUAACGCGUGGGAAUCUGCCCUUGGGUUCGGAAUAACAGUUGGAAACGACUGCUAAUACCGGAUGAUGACGAAAGUCCAAAGAUUUAUCGCCCAGGGAUGAGCCCGCGUAGGAUUAGCUAGUUGGUGAGGUAAAGGCUCACCAAGGCGACGAUCCUUAGCUGGUCUGAGAGGAUGAUCAGCCACACUGGGACUGAGACACGGCCCAGACUCUACGGGAGCAGCGAGUAGGAAUAUGGACAAUGGGCAAAG